AUGGAUGAGCCAUAAGAAAGGAAAAAUGGGCAUGGGAUGAGCCUAUGGCUUAUGGAUGAGCCAUAGGCAGACAAUCUAUAGGUGUAUGGUGUAUGGGCUUUUAGGGAUUUAACGGGUGAUGGCUGGGUCGGUUAGCAUGGAAAUAUGGGCUUGGGAUGGUGUAUAUGUAAAGAGCAAUAUUGCUAACUUAAUUCUUUUAACUGUUUUUUGGAUUAUUUGGAAAGAAAGGAAUUCUAGAGCUUUUGAGGGUGUUGGGAGUAGUAUGUACAAAAUAAGGGAUAUGUGGAUUCAUUUUUUUGGGGCUGUUUUGUUAGAGUAUGACAUUAUUAGUGAUGAGAAUUUUGGGAAUGUCAUUGAUACGCUAACACUUACGUAAAUUGUCCAUGGUUGGUACUCCCUAUUUUUGGUACUAUGUUAAUAUAUACCUCACUUGUUUAUUUAAAAAAAGAAUGGCUUAUGGAUGAGCAAAAAGGAAAAAAGAUCAUAACUAGAUGUUGCAAGGAUAUGAAAAUUUUAGUAUGUUGUGGCAUUGUUAAAUUGCUGUCUUCAAAUUACUUUUGUGCUCCCUUUUCUUUUGUGGAUCUACU
This 587-nucleotide long non-coding RNA is filed under the name Carica papaya (papaya). RNAcentral's name for it is "long non-coding RNA (CPAP_LNC013296)". The record is from RNAcentral. Lineage: Eukaryota; Viridiplantae; Streptophyta; Magnoliopsida; Brassicales; Caricaceae.